GACAAUGAUGUGAAGCUGACGUCUAAUCAGCAUGACCCUAUAUGACUUGUGCUAAACUUGAGUGCAGAAGAGGAGAGUGGAACUCCAUGUGUAGCGGUGAAAUGCGUAGAUAUAUGGAAGAACACCAGUGGCGAAGGCGGCUCUCUGGUCUGCAACUGACGCUGAGGCUCGAAAGCAUGGGUAGCGAACAGGAUUAGAUACCCUGGUAGUCCAUGCCGUAAACGAUGAGUGCUAAGUGUUGGAGGGUUUCCGCCCUUCAGUGCUGCAGCUAACGCAUUAAGCACUCCGCCUGGGGAGUACGACCGCAAGGUUGAAACUCAAAGGAAUUGACGGGGGCCCGCACAAGCGGUGGAGCAUGUGGUUUAAUUCGAAGCAACGCGAAGAACCUUACCAGGUCUUGACAUCCUUUGACAACUCUAGAGAUAGAGCGUUCCCUUCGGGGACACAGAGACAGGUGGUGCAUGGGUGUCGUCAGCUCGUGUCGUGAGAUGUUGGGUUAAGUCCCGCAACGAGCGCAACCCUUGUUAUUAGUUGCCAGCAUUUAGUUGGGCACUCUAGUGAGACUGCCGGUGACAAACCGGAGGAAGGUGGGGAUGACGUCAAAUCAUCAUGCCCUAGGGGGGGUA
This 626-nucleotide ribosomal RNA is filed under the name uncultured Lactobacillales bacterium. RNAcentral's name for it is "bacterial SSU rRNA". It matches the Rfam family "Bacterial small subunit ribosomal RNA", at positions 585 to 1216 of the family's 1533-position model. The record is from RNAcentral. Lineage: Bacteria; Bacillati; Bacillota; Bacilli; Lactobacillales.